UUUAUUGGAGAGUUUGAUCCUGGCUCAGGAUGAACGCUGGCGGCGUGCCUAAUACAUGCAAGUCGAGCGAAUGGAUUAAGAGCUUGCUCUUAUGAAGUUAGCGGCGGACGGGUGAGUAACACGUGGGUAACCUGCCCAUAAGACUGGGAUAACUCCGGGAAACCGGGGCUAAUACCGGAUAACAUUUUGAACCGCAUGGUUCGAAAUUGAAAGGCGGCUUCGGCUGUCACUUAUGGAUGGACCCGCGUCGCAUUAGCUAGUUGGUGAGGUAACGGCUCACCAAGGCAACGAUGCGUAGCCGACCUGAGAGGGUGAUCGGCCACACUGGGACUGAGACACGGCCCAGACUCCUACGGGAGGCAGCAGUAGGGAAUCUUCCGCAAUGGACGAAAGUCUGACGGAGCAACGCC
Molecule: ribosomal RNA, 410 nt
Filed under: Bacillus cereus
Lineage: Bacteria; Bacillati; Bacillota; Bacilli; Caryophanales; Bacillaceae
Description: bacterial SSU rRNA
Rfam family: Bacterial small subunit ribosomal RNA
Source: RNAcentral